ACCAGACUCCUACGGGAGGCAGCAGUGGGGGAUAUUGCACAAUGGGGGGAACCCUGAUGCAGCGACGCCGCGUGGGUGAAGAAGUAUUUCGGUAUGUAAAGCCCUAUCGGCAGGGAAGAAAUUGGACGGUACCUGACUAAGAAGCCCCGGCUAACUACGUGCCAGCAGCCGCGGUAAUACGUAGGGGGCAAGCGUUAUCCGGAUUCACUGGGUGUAAAGGGAGCGUAGACGGCCAUGCAAGCCUGGAGUGAAAGCCCGGGGCCCAACCCCGGGACUGCUCUGGGAACUGUGCGGCUGGAGUGCGGGAGAGGUAAGUGGAAUUCCUAGUGUAGCGGUGAAAUGCGUAGAUAUUAGGAGGAACACCAGUGGCGAAGGCGGCUUACUGGACUGUAACUGACGUUGAGGCUCGAAAGCGUGGGGAGCAAACAGGAUUAGAUACCCCGGUAG
RNAcentral lists this ribosomal RNA (447 nucleotides) under uncultured bacterium. RNAcentral describes it as "bacterial SSU rRNA". It matches the Rfam family "Bacterial small subunit ribosomal RNA", at positions 330 to 793 of the family's 1533-position model. The record is from RNAcentral.